GACGAACGCUGGCGGCGUGCUUAACACAUGCAAGUCGAACGGAAAGGCCCUGCUUUUGUUGGGUUCUCGAUUGGCGAACGCGUGAGUAACACGUGAGUAACCUGCCCUUGUCUUUGGGAUAACUUCAGGAAACUGGGGCUAAUACCCGAUAGGAUCUCUUGCUGCAUGGUGUUCGUUGGAAAGUUUCGGCGGUUGGGGAUGGUCUCGCAGCUUAUCAGCUUGUUGGUGGGGUAGUGGCUUACCAAGGGUUUGACGGGUAGCCGGCCUGAGAGGGUUAACGGCCACAUUGGGACUGAGAGACGGACCAGAAUGCUACGGGAGGCAGCAGGGGAGAAUAUUGCACAAUGGGCGGAAGCCUGAUGCAGCAACGCCGCGUGCGGGAUGACGGCCUUCGGGUUGUAAACCGCUUUCGCCUGUGACGAAGCGUGAGUGACGGUAAUGGGUAAAGAAGCACCGGCUAACUACGUG
This 468-nucleotide ribosomal RNA is filed under the name uncultured bacterium. RNAcentral's name for it is "partial 16S ribosomal RNA". It matches the Rfam family "Bacterial small subunit ribosomal RNA", at positions 28 to 507 of the family's 1533-position model. The record is from RNAcentral.